UUUAGCUAGCUAGGUACUGGCAUUUAAAAAAAAAAGUGAUUCCUCAUAGAAGUUACCCAACGAUGCGAGGAAAUACCAAAAGUAUUCAACAAAAUAGCUACUUGUCACUUACUCGACGCUAAGCUAACUAGCAAUAUAGGUAACAUCAGUUAUCCAACGUUAGCUAGCGGUCUCAGUCACCCCUCAUCCUGUUCGUUUUUUGCUGGCAUCAAUCAAUUUCCCCCACAGUUGGAUCUUCGCGGGAUUCAAGACCCUCCGACAUGUUGGUGUUGCUCAAAUAACUAGUUGAUCAGCUGCUGUCGAUGAUGCGUGCUAGCGAGCGUGUUUCGUCUUGUCUGAAUUGCUUUCGAAUCGGAAAUCGUUGUUUUCCCCCCAGGAAGUGUGAAGAGACCAUACCGCAGGACAGCGUUUUCUUGUGCAUGCCGUGCUCUCUGCCCGCUAUGUGCGACGCCCAGAGAUUGUCGUGGUCAGGUGACACACGGCCUGCAAUGAAGUCCCCGCUGGCAGGUACAAACAAGGUACAACAUCAGAGUUAGGAAAAGAAAAGGAAAACUUAGGAUAGGUCCUUACUCUGUACCGUUAGCAGUACUUUACCUGUUAACAAUGCUAUCAAGUCUCUUUAUGUUAUUUCCUUAUGAACACCUGUUAAAAAGCAAGGGGGAAAAGGACAAUCUACAGAAAAACGCUUACGUUUUUUCUGGAGAGCUUAAUAAAAAAGGCAAACCACUACAGAAGCAUUUUUUCCAUUAAAGAUCUAUAGACAUGACUCUUUAGAUUUAUGUCAGAAUAGGGGGGUGCAUGGUAAUCGAAACCACUUGCUUUCUCUCUUGAUAGGUUUCAGAGUAAUUGUUUAGUGUCUAUUGAUCUUUAAGUGUUUUUUUUAUUUUUUUUUAGGUCAGGCCUAAUGUGAAGGUGAGAGUGUGGUCUUACCAGAGGUCUAAGCAGGUCUUGUUGGAUUAGAUCAGCUCAGUAAGGCUGGUAGUUGUUCUGGUGGGUUGUGACCUCUCGAGAGGCCUUCCCAUAGCUGCUCUGCUGGCCUAUGGGGAAGGUCAAGGGUUAGAGGUCAGGAAAAUUAAGGGUCACAGGAGAACUUCACAGAAACAAAACAGUUGUAGGAGGAAAUCCUAUCAAGGUGUUAUCAAUUGAAGUUCAGUUGACAUGAGAAUUUAAGUUCACUUUCCUUUAUGGGGUAAAUGGCAGCAAGAAAUCAUAAAUAAUCAGUAGGAUGUAGUCUGUAGUUUGUGUACCUAAUUGUUUUUGUUUUUCUUGGACUUUCAAAUGGAAUGUUAUUGUAUCAGUACUGAGAUGCAAUUAUGUGUCAAGAUUGGGCAGCAGGUAGCAUAGCGGUUCAAGCAUUAGGCCAUUAGCCAAAAGGUCAAUACCAUACUACUAUGGCUGACCCUGUACAUUUCACUGCGCCUAUUUGGUGUACACGACAAAACAAUUCAAAUGUGCUAAAGAGACUCUGUACAUUAAGGUGUGCUUUACUCUAUAUACCCAGGAAUGUAACUACAAGUACUCUUAAUUGUGUGUGCCAUACAAAUGUAAUCUUAUAGAACUGUAUAUGGGCUCAAUGAUCAUUAAUGUUGCAAGUGUUCCCUAUAAAAUAACAAAGUGCACUGCCUGGAUAUGGAGGACCCCUCACAAACAUGCACCAGAGCAAAGAGACCCAAGGCAGGCAGCAUUACAGACAUCCGUUUUAUUAUUUUUUUCCAGAGCUAUUGAGUACAUACAAGAAGACAUUUUUCCACCUGUUGUCUUAGCUAUAGGUACAAGAGUUGUUGCUGGGGGCUGAAAGGCACUGCUUGUUUCGAUAGUUGCCAUCAACAGUGUAGCUUACCAUUGUAGUCGUCGUAUCCCUGUCCAUAACCAUAACUAUUAUAGUUGUAGCCAGAGUAGUCAUAGCCUGUGUAGCCAUUGUAUCCCUGGUUGUAUCCGUUGCCGUAGCUACCAUAGUUCUGGCUAUAGUAGCCAUUGUAACCCUGGUUGUAGCUACUCUGACCUGCACAGAGACAAUGGAAAGGUUUAGUGUGACAAGUCUGUAUUGUAGUUUCAAAGACACUUGUAUGUCUUUCUUUUCAAUAUACUGCAAUGCAUGCCCUGUUCGGUCAUCAGCAUGUUCAUUGUUGCAUGUGUCAAAUGCCACACAAGAAAUUCCCUUGUGGAAGAAUAAAGUUGAUUGAAUUUAAA
Oncorhynchus gorbuscha (pink salmon) is the source of this 2190-nucleotide long non-coding RNA. RefSeq lists it as uncharacterized. Lineage: Eukaryota; Metazoa; Chordata; Actinopteri; Salmoniformes; Salmonidae. The transcript has 2 exons. The record is from RefSeq and is a predicted model, not a curated record.